CACCACCACCACCACCACCACAACAGAGAUCUUCUCCACUCCUAUUCUAAUCAACCCCUCGCCGCCGCCGCCGCCGCAGAUCGCACCACCGACCGACCGAAGCGAUGGCCGCCUCCACCGUCGCGUCCAGGGCCGUGGCCGUCCUCGCCGUCCUGUCGGUCGCCGCCCUCUCCGUCGUCUCCGCGCAGGAGGCCCCGGCGCCGAGCCCCGUGUCGGCCGCCGGCGCAGCGGCGCCGUCCCUCGCCGCAGCGCUCGUCGCCUCCGGCGCCGCCUUCCUCUUCGCCGCCGUCCGCCACUGAAGCGGCCGCCUCCGUCCUCGCCGACCGUCCGUCCGUUCAUCGAUGGCUCCUCCUCUACAUCUACAUAGUACCGCCGCGUAGAUCCGUUUAGCGCCGCUGCUGUUACCACUAGCGAUUUGUUGGUUGUUCGUGUCCGCUUGGCCUGAUCUGCCUGCUACUGUCCGUCGCUCGGUGACGAUGAUGAUGAUGAUUAUUACAUCCUUGGUAGAGAUUGUACCCGUGUGCUUGUAGAUACGUACUUCUCACCACUGCUAUUUAUCCGGUUUGAUCUGCUGAUAUAUUCGCUGGGUUUAAUUUUGAUGAUGCUUUUCUGUCAGUCGUGAUUUCCUGAAUUUUGAUGCGCGUGAGCGUGGUGAAUUCUGUUCCUCGCCACCGCGACAGUGCACGAACCUAUUUUUCUUAGCAGAAUCGUUAUUUUUGCUUGCUCUGCUCUCUUCAGUCGAGACAACACCUACAUGCGAGAGAUGGCUGAUCGCGCAACAGAUGAAAACCUAGAUUUAAUAUAAGUGAGUAUUAAAUUGGAGAAGAAACUCCACAUGUUUGAGUAAAAAACAGCAGCAGCGACUGCUGCAGCGCAAUAAACAUAGUGAUGGGCUGAGGCAGGGGCCAUGGGUUGCUUGUGCUGCUCGUUUGGACUGCCUGCCGUGAAUUGACCAGGGUCAUUUUCUUGUUGCGAUUCUUGGUAAAAAAAAAAAAAACUUUGCCCGCUCUAUGAAACAAGUGCCUUGUUACCGCCAUUCUACCCAGCUUUCCAUCAGCAGUCAGCACAAGGAAACAAUAUAACAGCAUAACAAUCCAUUCCAUAGAGUAUACCAGAGACCCAACAAAUGUAAAUCAGUCUCUUUCCUUCGUGAGCACCGGCAGGUUUAGGUUAGUUGAUAAGAUCAUUUGCCAUUUGGCCUUGUGUUGUAGCGUCUCAUGUCACAUAUUCCAGUGUUUUGUUUGCGUUGAUCAUUGCCAAUGCGAGCCUGCGUCCGGGCUUGGCAAUGGCGAUGCAGUUAACGCGAACUGUGACCAUUUGCUGUCCUUGUGAACCGUGGGCAUGUUUGCCCGCGUUGCAUUCGCAUUUUCAUUUGCCGUCUUUUUGCCACCACGUCGCACUAUGAUAUCGUGUUCAGUUUGCACUAUGAUAUCAAGUUUGCCAUGGCAAAAAAUAAAAGUGAAGAAUUUGCCAUGGUGUAGUCAAAUUUGCCAUGUCAACAAAGGUAAAUUUUCCAUUGCAAAAUGAAAGUAAACUUUGCCAUGUCAAUAAAGUAAAAAAACUGCCAUGUCUUACACAUCAGAAAACAGAAUUUUGCCAUCUUAAUGCGAUUUUUUUUGCCAUGUGGACAUUACCUACAAAAGUGUAAAAUUUGACCAUGUGAAAAAGGUUGAAAGUCCCAUGGCAACUUUCAAACCAUUCAUAAUUAGGGGCACAAUUUAUACGAAGAGGUAUUUUGGCCAUGGCAAAUUUCAAAAUACCAUGUACUCCCUCCGUUCCAAAAAAAUUCAUGGACACGCAUGCAUGGUAUUUUUGAGAUUUCACAUGGCACAAUUGAUGGUGGACAAACAUGCAUGUUAUUUUUGAGAUUUCACAUGGCACAAUUGAUGCUGGACACACAUACUCCCUUCGUUCCAAAAUAGAUGACUCAACUUUGUACUAACUUUGAAUUUUUUUGCACAUACGAAAUUUGGUCAAAUUAGCAUCACAUCACAUAGUUUGCCAUAACUAUGUGUACAAUGCAACAAAUUUGGGUCAAAUUAGCAUCACAUCGCAUGGUUUGCAGUGUGAUAUAUAAAAAUUCAGAUAUAAGUUUGGUCCGAUUAAGCAUCACAUCACAAAAAGGUUUGCUAUGAACUAUGUGUAAAGUGCAUAAAAAUUGUAGGGGAUGAGCAUCCACGGGGAGAACCUGACAUGCUGCUACCGUUAGUUCCCGAUGAAGCUCUUCCCCUCCUGCUUCUGCGCGUCAACGGAGGAUCUUCUCCAUCGACCCUAGUAGAUGCCGCGGCCAGGGCAUCCCGCGCCACCACGCGCCCGCCUCCCAUGUAGGACGAUGGCACCGCCACCUCCCUAGGUCACCAUCACCUCCGAUCCAUCGCGUCCGAGACCUUGUAGACAUCGCCAUCGCCGUUGCUCCCUCUCGAGCAACAUCUCCACGGAUCCCUCAUCCUCGUCUUCCUCGACCCCUUUGUCGCGACGGUGUCGGGAUCUGGUCAGGGACAAGCCUCGUCGCCGGCGCAAGGCCAUCUCCGAGGUCUGAUGGAGCGCUAGUGCAGUGCGCUCUGCACGAGCGGUGGAGACAAAUGGAGAAGAGGAUAGUAUAAGGUACGACGUUUGGGACGAAGCCUAGUUUUACCGAACGAGAAAAUAAGGUGACUUGGUUGCUAUAAGAUUCGUGUCUAGAAAAACGUUAGGAAACAAACUGCCCACCGCUUCGUUCCCAACCGCCCAGGAGAGGCGAUUUGGCACGUGAAGCUAUUCCUGCUUCCUAUUCCCGGCGAGGCCAUCGGCUCCUCUGCCCUCCUCUCGCCGCUCCGGCGGUAGCAGGAGGGUGGGGGAUCCUGGGUCCUUUCAUCCGGUCUGUAUAUAGGUUUAGGAUAGGCAUGUCGGGUGACGGGGCUCGUUCGGUUCCGACGCCGCCAUCAUGAAUGAAGUUUUCCGGGCCACUGCUUCGACAACAUUGUUCAACGGUGUCGAGGAGCCACAGAUUUGUGUUCGAACAAGUUCUUCAAGAUGGCGGUGGAGUUCUUGCUCUGGUUCUUGUUUCUUCGGCUCCGUCCACGUCGCGUCGGGUGCGUCUCCAGCGCCGUCGCAGAGCCGGAAGUAUGUGUCUUGGAGUUGGCCGACGCUCCAGCGCUGGUCUUGUCCAAGGGAUGGUCCACAAGGAGAUUUGGUGUGGAAGAUGGUUGCUGGUUCUUAAGUUUUUCGGCGGCUCUGCCAAUUGAGAACUUCAAGACUGCGAUCCAAGAUGUGUGGAGUAUUACUUCAGCCGACGACCCACAUCGACAUGUGCAACGUCACUUGUGAUGGCGCCUGUUCAGAGGCUCGUAACACAACUUGGCUACUAUGGCACUAUCUUGGAUCUUGGAAAGUUGGAGGCAUGUGUUUCUUCUCUCCGGCGAACGCUUUUGGCGACGACUGGAUUCUUUGGCCAUGGUGGUCGUGGAUGCAGGAGUCCAAAAGAUCAAGUUUCAACUUUUUAUCUUUAUGGGGUUCUCCUUAGAUUUUCUUGUGUGCUAUCUCUCCGGGCUGUUCUAGAGAGAUGUUCCUGCUUUUAUGCAUGACUAGCACAUAUGCUCGUGCGUUGCAACGGGAGAUAAAAUAGUGUGUAAUUUAAAGUUAGUGAGAAUUAUAUGUGCAAGCAAAACCGUAUGUGCACACGAAAAGAAACAUUUAGCAUCCUGGUUCACCGCGUGUGAAGGAAUUAAUCCGCUAUUUUUCCAUCCAUUGCUCGAGCGUAUUUAAGAGUUUUGUUAAUCGUAUGCCACAGAAGGUCUGUGAGUUAUUCAAUCUACUUUUCUUUUCAAUCCUUUCGGUACAGAGGAUUUUAAGGUGUAAAGUUUCUGAAUAUUCUAGAAAACAUGAAUAAUUUUUUAAAUCUUGAACAAUUAUUUGAAAAUUAUGUACACUUUUGGAAAAACGCGAACAAAAUAUGAAAGGGAUCAUCUUUUAAAAUUCACAAACAUUUUCUGAAAACAUGAUUUUUUUAUAAAAAACAUGAACAUUAUUUGAAUUUGUGAACAUUUUUUAAAAUAGGAACAUGUGUUGAAAAUUCAUAAGAUUUUUCGAAAAUGUGUAUCUUUUAUACACGAACAUUAUUUUUAAUUGUGAAAAUUUCACUAAAACAAGAAUAUAUUUCGAAUGUGGAGCAUUUUUUGAGAUGCAAUUUUUCUUUUUAGAAAUUGCAAACAAUUUUAAAAAACAAUAAUGUUUUAAAAAAAAUGGAAACCUUUGCAAGUUCCGAAUAUUUUUCAAGAUAGCAACUAAAUUUUGGAAUUUUGCACAUUUUCCUAAAUUUGUUUUUUAUUCUGAAUGUUUUUCGAGAAUUUUCAAUUUACGAAAUAAAUUCUAAAAAAAUAAAUCUGGAAGGGAAAAAAGGGAUAGGGAAAGGAGAAUAAAAAUAGUAGUAAAACACAAAAACAAAGAAAGAUAUGCCAGCCCAUUAUUGGUUGGCCCGUGCGAAACUCUGACUAUUUGUCACCCUGUGCGAAAAAUAGAAUUUUUGCAGCUGCGUGGGCAGAAAAAUAAGUGGGCUGGCUUUACUGGACCAUAUCGCGCAGCCCACAUACGUAAAUUCGUGUUCUAGUAGAUAAAUGUAUAAAAAUUUAGUACCACCUCGGAUAAUUUUUUUUCUUUUCGGUGAUGAAUGGAUGAAAAUAUUAACGAAACGCACCUUGCUUUAUUAGUAAAAAAUAAAAAAAUUAGUAAAAAUAGGUGAUACUUCUGCUAGAAAAAAAAGAUUCGUGUCUAGAAUUAACGGUUAGAAGGACGACCCAGAUUAUUAAAAUCUGACAUUUGUUUUUUAUCAUUUCGAGAAAUACAAGUCUUGCCUAAUUGUUUUUUGGGAUCGCCUGGAACUCAGCCAGCUGAGACAUAGUUAUGUCUCAGUCACCUGAUGUAUUUUCAUUUGAACAGGAUUUUUUUGGCUGCUCAGCAACCCCCUCGUUUCCUUCGAUCUGGGCUUUUCAUUUUUGGCUGGUCAAUGUCCGUUGUCUUGUCUCGUGGGUUCUCUAGUUAUGGGCCAUGUUGUAGUUUUCUUUUGACUAGGUCCAGCUUCUUUCGUUGACUAACACUCAUAUUUAAAAUUAUACUCUGUGUGGAGAGUACUUAGAGCGCGCUUGCAAAUUCAUAUUGAAAUUGACAACAAGAAAUUCAAAAUUUCAAAAUGAAAUGUUCAAAUUGUGCUCUUGUUUAAUCACAUUUUUUUUUGAAAAAAUGUCCAUGAAUUUAUUCAUAAAAAAUAUAUUCAUGAACUAAAAAAACUGAAGUUUUUUUAAAGGAUAAUUUUAAAAAUGCUUGUGGAAUUAAAAAAAUUGGGAAAAUAUUGUGAGUUUUAAAAACAUUCAUGAAUUUAAGAAAUGUUUAUCGCAGUCGCAAUUGGCUAAAAAAUAACUUACGGUUGCGACCCCAUCCCCUCAAAAUAUUGCGACCUCCUUGAAAAACAUCCGGUCACGACCUCAUUUUAAAACUUGCAGUUGCGAUCCUCUUGAAAGCAUUCAGUGGCGACCCCCCCUAGAGAAACAUGUAGUCGCAACCCUCCUAUGAAAGCAUCCAGUGGCGACCCCCCCUAGAGAAGCAUGUAGUAGCAACCCUCCGAUGAAAGCAUGCAGUUGCGACCCCUUGAAACACAUGCAGUUGAGACAUGCUUUGAAAACAUGCAGUUGUGACCCCAUUUAAAACUUAACAUUGCAACCCCUCUUGAAAACCAUGCAGUUUGUGACCCACCUUAUGCAGUUGCCCCCCCCUCUUGAAAACAUGCAGUUGCGACUCCGACUUAAAAACAUUUAGUUGCGACCCCCUCUUGUAGACAUGCAGUUGCAACCCACCUAAAAAACAUGCAGUUUCAACCCACCUUGAAAACAUGCAGUUGCAGCCCCUCUUGAAAACAUGCAGUUGCGACCCACCUUGAAAACAUCCAGUUGCGACUCCGACUUAAAAACACGCAGUUGCGACCCCCUCUUGAAGACACGCGGUUACGACCCGGCCAAAAACAUGUAGUUUCGACCCGCCUUGAAAACAUGCAGUUGCAACUCCUCUUGAAAACAUGUAGUUGCAGCCCCUCUUGAAAACAUGCAAUUGCGACCCCCUCUUAAAAACAUACAUCUGUGACCCGCCUUGAAAACAUGGAGUUACAGCCCCUCUUGAAAACAUUCAGUUGUGACCCACCUUGAAAACAUGCAGUUCUGGCCCCUCUUGAAAACAUUCACUUGCGGCCCCUAGUUUUGGACCCUCUUGAAAACAUACAGUUGCGCCCGUGCCCUAAAAACAUGCAGUUGCAACCGUGCCUUGAAAACAUGUAGUUGCCCCUCUUGAAAACAUGCAAUUACAACCAUGCCUUAAAACAUGCAGUUGCGACCCACCUUGAAAACAUGCAGUUGCGCCCCCUCUUAAAAACAUGUAGUUGUGACCCCCUUAAAUACAUGCAAUUGCAACCCCGCCUUAAAAACAUGCAGUUGCGACCCUCCUUGAAAACAUGCAGUUGCGGCCCCGCCUUAGAAACAUGCAGUUGCGACCCCGCCUUAAAAACAUGCAAUUGCGACCCACCUUGAAAACAUGCAGUUCUGGCCCCUCUUUGAAAACAUGCAGUUCAGGCCCCGCCUUGGAAAANNNNNNNNNNNNNNNNNNNNNNNNNNNNNNNNNNNNNNNNNNNNNNNNNNNNNNNNNNNNNNNNNNNNNNNNNNNNNNNNNNNNNNNNNNNNNNNNNNNNNNNNNNNNNNNNNNNNNNNNNNNNNNNNNNNNNNNNNNNNNNNNNNNNNNNNNNNNNNNNNNNNNNNNNNNNNNNNNNNNNNNNNNNNNNNNNNNNNNNNNNNNNNNNNNNNNNNNNNNNNNNNNNNNNNNNNNNNNNNNNNNNNNNNNNNNNNNNNNNNNNNNNNNNNNNNNNNNNNNNNNNNNNNNNNNNNNNNNNNNNNNNNNNNNNNNNNNNNNNNNNNNNNNNNNNNNNNNNNNNNNNNNNNNNNNNNNNNNNNNNNNNNNNNNNNNNNNNNNNNCCGCCUUCAAAAUAUGCAAUUGCGACCCCGCCUUAAAAACAUGCAGUUGCAACCCCCGCCUUAAAAAACAUGCAAGUGCAACCCUACCUUAAAAACAUGCAGUUACGGCCCCCCUUAAAAACAUGCAAUUCCAACCCCGCCUUACAUACAUGAAGUUACGGCCCCUCUUGAAAACAUGUAGCCACAGUCAGGUUAUAACAUUUGCAGUUGCAUGUCUAGCGGUGGACAUGCAAGUGGCCUGGACAACUCCUCCUCCUGACCACAAUUGCGGCCCCUUUUAUCAAUCUCAACUUCAUUAUUGUGUUGAGACGGUGAUUUAAAAAAAUUUAUAAGAGACAAAUUUUGUAAAACUAAAAAACUAAGCAAUCAAUUUGGAAUCUCAAGUAACAAAUGAAUACUAAGCUAAAACAAAAUAAAUAUACUGAAGUUGGAAAAGGAGAAAAUAGUGAAAUAAGGAAAAAAUACAGAAAGCAAAAAAAGUAAUUAAUCAUGAGAAAAAGGUUUAAAAAGUAAUUACAAAGAGCUUACCCCUCACCCACAAAAAAAAAGAAGGAAAAAGAAAAGAGCUUGCCCCUAUAAGCUAUAGUGAACAGAUGACAAAACAUGCAAAAAGCUAGGAGCGUCCCAUCCUUUGAUCCCCAUCUUUCCUUUCUAGUCGCGUAAAAAAAUAGAAGAAAGCCCACAUAGAGCGCAUGCAAAAAGCAAAGGCCUGGGUAAAACACAUCGGCUAGCCCUCGUGCUAGACGAGCCGCGCACCUUAGCUCCGGAGAUAACGUACAAAAGACAUUACGAAUCUGAGCAACCAUCGGAGGGCCAGAAGUUCUCAAAAAAAAAAAAAACAUCGGAGGGCCAGAAAAGUGACUGAGACCAUAGUUAAAACUCGGCUAGCUGAGUUUCAGCAAAACCGUUGUUUUUUACUACUUUAGAACUGCUACAUCGUUUCCAAAUAGAUGAUCCAACUUUGUACUAACUUGAAGGGAGUAUUUUACAGCAGCCCAUUUCAAGAGGCAGCACACAUUUUUUUUAUAGCACACACAGUGGCAGAACCCUCAAUCUCUCUGAUUCCUCCCCAAAUCAGCCGCCGCCUCACACUCUUCUCCACCCGCCCCAAAGACAACACUAUUCACAAUUAUAGAUCAUUGCCUGUUGUUUUUUUUACGAUACUUGCAAAUGGAACAAUUUUUCAUUAAUAUUAUGCAUCAAUAGAGUAUUUCAAAUCUACACAAGAAAUCUAUUUAUUGGUUUUUUCAUGUAAAUGUAUUUUUAAUAGUUUGAAAAAACAGGGGCUAGCUCUGUUGAGCUCAAUGAUCAAUGGUCUAUCCAUCUCCAUCAUUGAUCAGGCGCGUCUUUGUCUCGUCUUCAGUGAUACGACAGAAUCGCUUGCCUCAACAGGCACCUAAAAUGGGCCGACCCAGCGCGGGAGGAGCACUCGCUCAGUUGCACACGUCUUGUUUUGCCGGAUUUUUAUUUUAUUUUUAGUUUAUUGCCUUUAUUAAUAUACCUAAAAUAGAAAUUAUUUUACAGAAAUUUUAAAAACAUUCAUCACACAUUUUAAAAAUGUUCAUGCAAUGUAAAAAAAUGGGUGUCAACUAGUUCACUACAAAGAGAUCCGCAGCAACGCGCAGGUGUCAUCUAGUUCUAACAUAUUGCACUUAUUGAUAGUGCAUACAUAGCAAACUCAAGAAUUUGCAUUUUGGUGAUUUCAUUGACAUCUCAAAACACAAAUUUCAAAGCCGUUGUUAUGUUUAGCAUCUACUUUAUCACAUCCCAAUUUCUUACGAACAACCCAAAAGAGACAAGUGCAAUAUUUGUAACCUUAAGAAACAACUGUUUAAUGAUCAUAUUAAGCGAUUGAAAGUCUACUACAUGUCCCGCAGCAACGUGCAGGGCAUCCAUCUAGUUACUCCAAGAGCACAUAAUAGUGCACCAGAAAUUUACCACCUAGAACUUGCAGAACACACCUAUGAUCACGAACAAGCAAAAAUCUAGAGCGAAGGAUUGCCGACUUGCCCGGCGAACAUAACGGUGAGCUCCUCCUUGAUCAAGAACAUGAAGGGGUGGUCGGCGGCAAAGUCCACGAGUUCGACCGGCCUGCUCCAGCCCACCGAACUACUACCAAAGAUGCCAUCGAUGGCUGUGGCCGCGGCCGCUUCGGUCCCUUCUUCGUUCACCUCCACGAAGGACUCGUGAUAGACUUGGGACACGUAGAGCGGCAGCCUCGGCGGCUUCAUGUCACGUAGGUACACAGGAGAGCAGCUGGAGGCCCGAGUCCAUGUCAAUGAAAUUUGUUACGUGGGGUCAGUGGCCAUGUAAGUCAUUUGUAAUCUUGUCGCAAGCAGAAGCAAUGAUUCAUGCUAAGUAACCAAAACAGAAUUCACACACCUCGUCGAGGAAUGCCGGCACACGAUACGAAUAGAUGGUGGACUGGCCAAGAAACUGCGCAUCCAUCUGGCACAAACUACUAGUCGUACAAGCACAUCUAAUGGUGCAGUUGGCAGCCGGGGUAUAAUUGUAGAUGGAGACUGUUAAAAGGAAGAAGAAGAAAGAUGGAGACUGCUGGAUGCUUAGUGCACACUAGCACUUGGAAUUCUGGGUGCACGACGUCAGGCGUGGCGCGACAUGAUGUGCACCAGAAUAAUGACGUACGAGCACUCUUUUACAUUUUCCGGCAGAUAUAUGGCAUGAUUCAAAUAAAUCUGUAGUUGAAAUGACCGUAAACAGCCUUAAUUAUACUAGUGCGCCAAUGUUAAUAUGUUGACGAUGAAACCAAGGGCUAUUUCUCGACCGACGCGAGCGCCUCUGGCGUGGCGGUACCAGGUCCGUCCAGUACUGUAGCUGUGAGUGAGUUUUUUUUUCUUGCCUUUAUUAUCUUUUCUUUUUACUGCUUGUAUCGGUUUUCGUAGGUUUUCCUUUUGUUCUUAUUUUUUAUUGGUUUUAUUCGUUUCUUUCCUUGGGUUUUUUCUUUCACUUUUGUUUUUUUAUGUUUUUUCUCAACACAUGUCUACAUUUUCAUAGACAUUGUACUUUUUUGUAUAAAUCAGGAAUAUUUUUUAUACAUGUUUAACAUUUUUUAUAUACAUGAUUAUUAAGUUU
This 10079-nucleotide long non-coding RNA is filed under the name Triticum aestivum (bread wheat). RNAcentral's name for it is "long non-coding RNA (TAES_LNC000815)". Lineage: Eukaryota; Viridiplantae; Streptophyta; Magnoliopsida; Poales; Poaceae. The record is from RNAcentral.